CUAGGAUGAACGAAGAGGGGUUUGAAAGAUGGAAGAGCGAGGGUCCAGUGAAUGAUCUUUUUGUGCCUUCCCUUUCCCUCCUCUUGCUUACGAACCACAUGAAAUAACCGGAGCCUCUGAAGCCACUGUGGACAGCGAGGGAUUUUGAGGUUGGAAAUCGUACUCUGGAGAUAGUGGUUUCUGGGCUCCUAAUCGUUUCGCGCAGUUUUCAAACCAUCCGCGGACCCGCCACCACUCUCUGACAUGAAGGAGGACUAUUGACUAGCACGAGUCCUUCCAUCAUCUCUCUGA
Molecule: long non-coding RNA, 291 nt
Organism: Chionomys nivalis (European snow vole)
Lineage: Eukaryota; Metazoa; Chordata; Mammalia; Rodentia; Cricetidae
Exons: 3
Source: RefSeq, a predicted model, not a curated record